CAGUCGCCGCGGGAAUACGUAGGGUGCAAGCGUUAAUCGGAAUUACUGGGCGUAAAGCGUGCGCAGGCGGUUUGUUAAGACAGAUGUGAAAUCCCCGGGCUUAACCUGGGAACUGCAUUUGUGACUGGCAAGCUAGAGUCUGGCAGAGGGGGGUGGAAUUCCGCGUGUAGCAGUGAAAUGCGUAGAUAUGCGGAGGAACACCGAUGGCGAAGGCAGCCCCCUGGGCCAACACUGACGCUCAUGCACGAAAGCGUGGGGAGCAAACAGGAUUAGAUACCCCAGUAGUCCCUGUCUCUUAUAC
This 301-nucleotide ribosomal RNA is filed under the name uncultured bacterium. RNAcentral describes it as "partial 16S ribosomal RNA". It matches the Rfam family "Bacterial small subunit ribosomal RNA", at positions 509 to 807 of the family's 1533-position model. The record is from RNAcentral.